GUAGCCGAUAGAGUGUGAUCCUGGCUCAGUAUAGUUAUCUGCGGGGUCGGNAUACGAUAACGGCGUCGAGCGGCGGACGGGUGAGUAAUGCCUAGGAAAUUGCCCUGAUGUGGGGGAUAACCAUUGGAAACGAUGGCUAAUACCGCAUGAUGCCUACGGGCCAAAGAGGGGGACCUUCGGGCCUCUCGCGUCAGGAUAUGCCUAGGUGGGAUUAGCUAGUUGGUGAGGUAAGGGCUCACCAAGGCGACGAUCCCUAGCUGGUCUGAGAGGAUGAUCAGCCACACUGGAACUGAGACACGGUCCAGACUCCUACGGGAGGCAGCAGUGGGGAAUAUUGCACAAUGGGCGCAAGCCUGAUGCAGCCAUGCCGCGUGUGUGAAGAAGGCCUUCGGGUUGUAAAGCACUUUCAGUCGUGAGGAAGGUGGUGUAGUUAAUAGCUGCAUUAUUUGACGUUAGCGACAGAAGAAGCACCGGCUAACUCCGUGCCAGCAGCCGCGGUAAUACGGAGGGUGCGAGCGUUAAUCGGAAAUUACUGGGCGUAAAGCGCAUGCAGGUGGUUUGUUAAGUCAGAUGUGAAAGCCCGGGGCUCAACCUCGGAAUAGCAUUUGAAACUGGCAGACUAGAGUACUGUAGAGGGGGGUAGAAUUUCAGGUGUAGCGGUGAAAUGCGUAGAGAUCUGAAGGAAUACCGGUGGCGAAGGCGGCCCCCUGGACAGAUACUGACACUCAGAUGCGAAAGCGUGGGGAGCAAACAGGAUUAGAUACCCUGGUAGUCCACGCCGUAAACGAUGUCUACUUGGAGGUUGUGGCCUUGAGCCGUGGCUUUCGGAGCUAACGCGUUAAGUAGACCGCCUGGGGAGUACGGUCGCAAGAUUAAAACUCAAAUGAAUUGACGGGGGCCCGCACAAGCGGUGGAGCAUGUGGUUUAAUUCGAUGCAACGCGAAGAACCUUACCUACUCUUGACAUCCAGAGAACUUUCCAGAGAUGGAUUGGUGCCUUCGGGAACUCUGAGACAGGUGCUGCAUGGCUGUCGUCAGCUCGUGUUGUGAAAUGUUGGGUUAAGUCCCGCAACGAGCGCAACCCUUAUCCUUGUUUGCCAGCGAGUAAUGUCGGGAACUCCAGGGAGACUGCCGGUGAUAAACCGGAGGAAGGUGGGGACGACGUCAAGUCAUCAUGGCCCUUACGAGUAGGGCUACACACGUGCUACAAUGGCGCAUACAGAGGGCGGCCAACUUGCGAAAGUGAGCGAAUCCCAAAAAGUGCGUCGUAGUCCGGAUUGGAGUCUGCAACUCGACUCCAUGAAGUCGGAAUCGCUAGUAAUCGUGGAUCAGAAUGCCACGGUGAAUACGUUCCCGGGCCUUGUACACACCGCCCGUCACACCAUGGGAGUGGUAUAGNAAGAUACCCUAGGGUCACUAUAAGUCGUAACACAGGUAGCACGNAGAGU
Molecule: ribosomal RNA, 1447 nt
Filed under: Vibrio campbellii
Lineage: Bacteria; Pseudomonadati; Pseudomonadota; Gammaproteobacteria; Vibrionales; Vibrionaceae
Description: bacterial SSU rRNA
Rfam family: Bacterial small subunit ribosomal RNA
Source: RNAcentral